GUGGGGAAUAUUGGACAAUGGGCGAAAGCCUGAUCCAGCCAUGCCGCGUGUGUGAAGAAGGUCUUCGGAUUGUAAAGCACUUUAAGUUGGGAGGAAGGGCAGUAAGUUAAUACCUUGCUGUUUUGACGUUACCGACAGAAUAAGCACCGGCUAACUUCGUGCCAGCAGCCGCGGUAAUACGAAGGGUGCAAGCGUUAAUCGGAAUUACUGGGCGUAAAGCGCGCAUAGGUGGUUUUGUAAGUUGGAGGUGAAAUCCCCGGGCUCAACCUGGGAACUGCCUCAAAAACUGCAUGACUAGAGUACGGUAGAGGGUAGUGGAAUUUCCUGUGUAGCGGUGAAAUGCGUAGAUAUAGGAAGGAACACCAGUGGCGAAGGCGACUACCUGGACUGAUACUGACACUGAGGUGCGAAAGCGUGGGGAGCAAACAGGAUUAGAUACCCGGGUAGUCC
This 450-nucleotide ribosomal RNA is filed under the name uncultured bacterium. RNAcentral describes it as "bacterial SSU rRNA". It matches the Rfam family "Bacterial small subunit ribosomal RNA", at positions 354 to 796 of the family's 1533-position model. The record is from RNAcentral.